UGGGGAAUAUUGGACAAUGGGCGAAAGCCUGAUCCAGCCAUGCCGCGUGUGUGAAGAAGGUCUUCGGAUUGUAAAGCACUUUAAGUUGGGAGGAAGGGCAGUAAGUUAAUACCUUGCUGUUUUGACGUUACCGACAGAAUAAGCACCGGCUAACUCUGUGCUAG
This 164-nucleotide ribosomal RNA is filed under the name uncultured bacterium. RNAcentral describes it as "partial 16S ribosomal RNA". It matches the Rfam family "Bacterial small subunit ribosomal RNA", at positions 355 to 511 of the family's 1533-position model. The record is from RNAcentral.